CAGUCGCCGCGGUAAUACGUAAGGUGCAAGCGUUAAUCGGAAUUACUGGGCGUAAAGCGUGCGUAGGCGGUGAGUUAAGUCUGCUGUGAAAUCCCCGGGCUCAACCUGGGAAUGGCAGUGGAUACUGGCUCGCUAGAGUGUGUCAGAGGAUGGUGGAAUUCCCGGUGUAGCGGUGAAAUGCGUAGAGAUCGGGAGGAACAUCAGUGGCGAAGGCGGCCAUCUGGGGCAACACUGACGCUGAGGCACGAAAGCGUGGGGAGCGAACAGGAUUAGAUACCCCAGUAGUCCCUGUCUCUUAUAC
Molecule: ribosomal RNA, 301 nt
Filed under: uncultured bacterium
Lineage: Bacteria
Description: partial 16S ribosomal RNA
Rfam family: Bacterial small subunit ribosomal RNA
Source: RNAcentral